Molecule: long non-coding RNA, 436 nt
Filed under: Vigna radiata
Lineage: Eukaryota; Viridiplantae; Streptophyta; Magnoliopsida; Fabales; Fabaceae
Description: long non-coding RNA (VRAD_LNC005151)
Source: RNAcentral
UCUCUCUAAUAUCAUGAUAAGAUGGUGGUUUGUAUCCAACUCCAUACUUACCAAUCAUUUCACACAUCUUUGCAAAUGCUGGAUUUCUAAUUACAUUAAAAGGAAUGGCACUGGUGUAAAAGAAUUCAGCAACUUGAGCAUCAACUUCUUCUUUGUAUCCUUUUUUCAUCAUUUGAUUUAUAGUUGCUUGAACUCCCCCCUUACUAGUUGUAGCAACUUUUUCUUUUCCUUUAAAACCGAAUACCCUGUGUCCUCCUUCAAGACUCUCACUUUCUUCCUUGUCUUCACCGAUAUUUAUCUUUCUUUUCUUUAAUGAAGCAUUCUUAGCUUCUGCAACUAUAUUUAUCAUCAAAAUUUUUAUUUCAUCCCGAACAGAAGCACAAGGUUCUGAAUCUUCUCUAGUUCCAGCAAGAUGAUGCUUAAAUCUAAAUAUGCC